AGUAGACCCGGGCGCGGGGACCAGGGGCCUGGGCGUCAGGAGCGCAGCUGCCCGGGAGUGGGCGAGGUGCAACAGACAGGCCACUGCCACAGACCGGCUUGGUCCCUGUACGGUGUCGGUACCACCCUGUGGGCUUGUUAAACAGACUUGCAGACUUGGGUUCUGAUUGUUUGCAGAUGUGGGUGUGGCCUGACAUUUUGAUUUGAGGGUUAGUUGUGAUGAUUGAUCCUGAUUGCCAGCUUGACAGGAUCUAGAAUCACAUACAAGACAAAGCUCUGGGGGUACAUCCGUGAAUUUCUGGACUGGCUGUGAAGGGAAGAUGCAGCAUUCCAUGGGUUGGAGAAAGUGAGCUGAACAGCAUUUGGCUCUGCAUCCUGUCAGUGGAUACUGGUGACCAGCUGCCUCACCCCACAUGACACAUACUGCAUCAGCAUACAGAAACCCUAGGCUAAGCAUUGCCCUCAAACACAGGGAGCAAAUACGUCUGUUCGGGACACUCUGACUUCACCAGAAGACAGAAACAAAGGUCUGGUGACUAUCCCUCCUGCCAGUUACCAUGGCCCCAGCUGUGAAGCAACACACACUAGGAAACAAGUGUCCAGUCCUGUGGUCACAGUGUGGAGAGGCUGAGGCAGGAAGACCACCAAUCCCAGCCCAGAGAGCAUAUCCAGCUCCCGACUCAAAGAGCAAAAGAAUGAGGUGAAGAUGGCUCAGAAGGAGAUGUCAUUUGUCCAGGCUGAGGACCUGGCUCAGGUCCUGGGGAACACAAGGUGGAGGGAGAGAGCCCCUGCUGCACCUCGCCUUCUAACCUCCACAUGUAUACCACGGCCCAUGCAUGCCUUGCAUAAAUAAUUUUUAA
Molecule: non-coding RNA, 859 nt
Organism: Cricetulus griseus (Chinese hamster)
Lineage: Eukaryota; Metazoa; Chordata; Mammalia; Rodentia; Cricetidae
Source: RefSeq, a predicted model, not a curated record